RNAcentral lists this ribosomal RNA (200 nucleotides) under uncultured bacterium. RNAcentral describes it as "partial 16S ribosomal RNA". It matches the Rfam family "Bacterial small subunit ribosomal RNA", at positions 30 to 233 of the family's 1533-position model. The record is from RNAcentral.
AUUGAACGCUGGCGGCAGGCCUAACACAUGCAAGUCGAGCGCGAAAGUUCUUCGGAAUGAGUAAAGCGGCGGACGGGUGAGUAAUACAUGGGAAUCUGCCUGGUAGUGGGGGACAACGUUUCGAAAGGAACGCUAAUACCGCAUACGCCCUACGGGGGAAAGGGGGGGAUCGCAAGACCUCUCGCUAUCAGAUGAGCCCA